GUCCACGCCGUAAACGAUGGGCACUAGGCGUCGGGGGGAGCGACCCUCCCGGUGCCGUCGCUAACGCAGUAAGUGCCCCGCCUGGGGAGUACGGCCGCAAGGCUGAAACUCAAAGGAAUUGACGGGGGCCCGCACAAGCGGUGGAGCAUGUGGUUUAAUUCGAAGCAACGCGAAGAACCUUACCUGGGCUUGACAUGCUGGUGAAAGCCGGUGGAAACAUCGGUCCCUCUUCGGAGCACCAGCACAGGUGCUGCAUGGCUGUCGU
This 265-nucleotide ribosomal RNA is filed under the name uncultured bacterium. Its description in RNAcentral is "partial 16S ribosomal RNA". It matches the Rfam family "Bacterial small subunit ribosomal RNA", at positions 793 to 1055 of the family's 1533-position model. The record is from RNAcentral.